AGUGGCGGACGGGUGAGUAACGCGUGGGCAACCUGCCUUACACAGGGGGACAACAGCUGGAAACGGCUGCUAAUACCGCAUAUGCGCACAGGGCCGCAUGGCCUGGUGCGGAAAACUCCGGUGGUGUAAGAUGGGCCCGCGUCUGAUUAGGUAGUUGGCGGGGUAACGGCCCACCAAGCCGACGAUCAGUAGCCGGCCUGAGAGGGUGGACGGCCACAUUGGGACUGAGACACGGCCCAAACUCCUACGGAAGGCAGCAG
This 260-nucleotide ribosomal RNA is filed under the name uncultured bacterium. Its description in RNAcentral is "partial 16S ribosomal RNA". It matches the Rfam family "Bacterial small subunit ribosomal RNA", at positions 94 to 354 of the family's 1533-position model. The record is from RNAcentral.